AGGGGCUUAGGAUAAUUAGAAAACCAAGGGCCUUCAAAGCCCUAAAUGGGGGUGAAACUCUCCCAGCCCCUG
RNAcentral lists this transfer RNA (72 nucleotides) under Malthopsis jordani. RNAcentral describes it as "tRNA-Trp". It matches the Rfam family "tRNA". Rfam says of the family: Transfer RNA (tRNA) molecules are approximately 80 nucleotides in length. Their secondary structure includes four short double-helical elements and three loops (D, anti-codon, and T loops). The record is from RNAcentral. Lineage: Eukaryota; Metazoa; Chordata; Actinopteri; Lophiiformes; Ogcocephalidae.